UGGGGAAUAUUGGGCAAUGGGCGAAAGCCUGACCCAGCAACGCCGCGUGAGGGAAGAAGGCCUUCGGGUUGUAACCCUCUGUCCUUAGUGACGAAGGAAGUGACGGUAGCUAAGGAGGAAGCCCCGGCUAACUACGUGCCAGCAGCCGCGGUAAUACGUAGGGGGCAAGCGUUAUCCGGAAUUAUUGGGCGUAAAGAGUGCGUAGGUGGUUACCUAAGCAGGGGGUGAAAGGCAUUGGCUUAACCAAUGUUAGCCCCCUGAACUGGGCUACUUGAGUGCAGGAGAGGAAAGCGGAAUUCCUAGUGUAGCGGUGAAAUGCGUAGAUAUUAGGAGGAACACCA
This 341-nucleotide ribosomal RNA is filed under the name uncultured bacterium. RNAcentral describes it as "bacterial SSU rRNA". It matches the Rfam family "Bacterial small subunit ribosomal RNA", at positions 355 to 711 of the family's 1533-position model. The record is from RNAcentral.